AUCAACUUUACAGACUCAAUCUGACUCUGUGAACCAAACUGCAUGAUUGAAGUAUUAUAUAACUUAAACCCAAAAAUCAAAUAGGCAUGAUUGAAGUAUUAUACAACUUAAACCCAAAAAUAUUAAUAACGAAAUAGCAAAUAAAAUGCACGAAUUGUAAUAUCACACCUCUUCAUAGGGCAAAUUCGUUAAAGAUUUCCGCAGACGCAUCUCUUUCUUGCAAUCGCAUUAAUUCAUAUUCCCGAGAAGUCGAGAAGAGUACGGAACAACAAUCCUAAAGAGCUAUGGCGUUACGAAGCAAGAGGUUAGCUACACUUAUCUUCUCCAUCUCCAACAACUUUUAGGUUUGCAAUUCCGGAGGGGUCGCGAGCAACGGGACAUUGUUCAGCCGCCGGAUCUCCUCUGCUACCUCAUCUGCUGCUGUUGUGGUGGAUGAUGAAUCUGGAGGGAUUUACGGAUUGGGAGGUGUGUUAAAAGGGUAUGAAGAUUACCGAAGAUCUCUAACAAUGAAUUCACUCACAAGGCGUUGCUAUUUGAUGUGGGCCAACAAUCAACUGAGAGAAGGCGAGAUCAUCAAUGGUUGCGUGGUGAGCAGCAGGCUGUUCGGAAAUUGCAUAUGAAGCAUCAAGUUUCAAUUGAGAGGUUUAGGAUUCUUCGGAAGGGAAACUCAGAUAGCGAGUAUGAGAUGUUGGAUUCGAGGCUCAAUCCUCACCUAUUUAUAGGGAUAGUAAACGCUUCAGUUGUUGAUAGUAAAGAAAAGGAGACGGGGAGACUGGGAAGAUAAAGAGUUAAAUGGAAAAGAAAGUGAGUGCAAUGUUUCAUAUGGUGACGGUGUAGCGUCGUAGGGGAGAUUAAAUCUUACCUAAUCGAUUCAUAGUCUAAACAACGAUUAAUUAAAAGAUCCAACAAAUAAUCAAGAAUUUUAUCAUUUCGUGUUUGCCGAUGAGAAUAAAUUAUUAAGAUUUGUGGAUCCGUAAAUAAAGGAAGUGAUGAUGUGAACUUAGGAGAGAGAAAAAACUUUUCUAUUAUAAUAUAGAGAUUCUCGUCACCUCUGAUCUUUGGGUGGUUCAUUAACGGGGUACAACUUGUCUCCAUUUUACAUAACUCUUUUUAGGUUGUAAUAACCUUUUAUUACCUUGUAACAUCCGCUUCGUUUUCGUAAUUUUUUGUUCAAAUGCCUUUUAAUGUAAUCACAUAGAAUAUGUUAAUCAUAUAUAGUCAUAAAAUAUAGAAUGCGG
This 1238-nucleotide long non-coding RNA is filed under the name Brassica napus (rape). Its description in RNAcentral is "long non-coding RNA (BNAP_LNC023473)". The record is from RNAcentral. Lineage: Eukaryota; Viridiplantae; Streptophyta; Magnoliopsida; Brassicales; Brassicaceae.